AGAGUUUGAUCCUGGCUCAGGAUGAACGCUAGCGACAGGCUUAACACAUGCAAGUCGAGGGGUAACGUGUUGGAAGCUUGCUUCCGAUGACGACGACCGGCGGAUGGGUGCGUAACGCGUAUGCAACUUGCCUCACAGAGGAGAAUAACCCGGAGAAAUCCGGACUAAUGCUCCAUACACUCUUUAGCACGCCUGUGCGUAAGAGGAAAGAUUUAUCGCUGUGAGAUAGGCAUGCGUCCUAUUAGGUAGUUGGUGAGGUAACGGCUCACCAAGCCGACGAUAGGUAGGGGUGCUGAGAGGCAGAUCCCCCACAUUGGAACUGAGACACGGCCCAAACUCCUACGGGAGGCAGCAGUGAGGAAUAUUGGUCAAUGGAGGAAACUCUGAACCAGCCAAGUCGCGUGAAGGAAGAAUGUCCUAAGGAUUGUAAACUUCUUUAGCGAGUGAGUAAGGACUUCCACGCGUUGGGAGUUUGAAAGUAGCUCGAGAAUAAGUAUCGGCUAACUCCGUGCCAGCAGCCGCGGUAAUACGGAGGAUACGAGCGUUAUCCGGAUUUAUUGGGUUUAAAGGGUGCGCAGGUGGUCCUGCAAGUCAGUGGUGAAAAGCUGAGGCUCAACCUCAGCCUUGCCGUUGAAACUGCAAGACUUGAGAGUACAUGAUGUGGGCGGAAUGCGUAGUGUAGCGGUGAAAUGCAUAGAUAUUACGCAGAACUCCGAUUGCGAAGGCAGCUCACAAAGGUAUGUCUGACACUGAGGCACGAAAGCGUGGGGAGCAAACAGGAUUAGAUACCCUGGUAGUCCACGCCGUAAACGAUGAUUACUCGAAGUAUGCGAUAUACAGUAUGCUUCCAAGCGAAAGUGAUAAGUAAUCCACCUGGGGAGUACGCCGGCAACGGUGAAACUCAAAGGAAUUGACGGGGGCCCGCACAAGCGGAGGAACAUGUGGUUUAAUUCGAUGAUACGCGAGGAACCUUACCCGGGAUUGAAAUGUAUGUGCGCCUCUUGGGAAACCGAGAGGGUUCUCUUCGGAGACACAUAUGUAGGUGCUGCAUGGUUGUCGUCAGCUCGUGCCGUGAGGUGUCGGCUUAAGUGCCAUAACGAGCGCAACCCUUAUCGUCAGUUACUAACAGGUUAAGCUGAGGACUCUGGCGAGACUGCCGUCGUAAGACGAGAGGAAGGUGGGGAUGACGUCAAAUCAGCACGGCCCUUACAUCCGGGGCGACACACGUGUUACAAUGGUAGGUACAGAGAGUAGCCACUCGGCGACGAGGAGCGGAUCUUGAAACCCUAUCUCAGUUCGGAUCGGAGUCUGCAACUCGACUCCGUGAAGCCGGAUUCGCUAGUAAUCGCGCAUCAGCCAUGGCGCGGUGAAU
This 1372-nucleotide ribosomal RNA is filed under the name human gut metagenome. RNAcentral's name for it is "bacterial SSU rRNA". It matches the Rfam family "Bacterial small subunit ribosomal RNA", at positions 8 to 1367 of the family's 1533-position model. The record is from RNAcentral.